Camellia sinensis is the source of this 222-nucleotide long non-coding RNA. RefSeq lists it as uncharacterized. The record is from RefSeq and is a predicted model, not a curated record. Lineage: Eukaryota; Viridiplantae; Streptophyta; Magnoliopsida; Ericales; Theaceae.
UGUAAACCCAACUGUCCUGGAUCAAUUGAGGACUAUUGACCGCAUCAUUUAUGCUAUGGGAUCCCUUUUUACUUCCAUCUGCCCAUCUCUGGUUUUACUUGGCAUUGGGGAGAUCAUCGCUUCAAGGUCUUGCCCCAAGGUACUUUUGUUGAAUGGUAUUCAUGACCGAGAAACUAGCGGCUUUUCUGUUGCUUGCUUUGUAAGUGCCAUUGCAGAUGCUCU